GAUGAACGCUGGCGGCGUGCCUAGUACAUGCCAGUCGAGCGAACGGACGAGAAGCUUGCUUCUCUGAUGUUAGCGGCGGACGGGUGAGUAACACGUGGAUAACCUACCUAUAAGACUGGGAUAACUUCGGGAAACCGGAGCUAAUACCGGAUAAUAUUUUGAACCGCAUGGUUCAAAAGUGAAAGACGGUCUUGCUGUCACUUAUAGAUGGAUCCGCGCUGCAUUAGCUAGUUGGUAAGGUAACGGCUUACCAAGGCAACGAUGCAUAGCCGACCUGAGAGGGUGAUCGGCCACACUGGAACUGAGACACGGUCCAGACUCCUACGGGAGGCAGCAGUAGGGAAUCUUCCGCAAUGGGCGAAAGCCUGACGGAGCAACGCCGCGUGAGUGAUGAAGGUCUUCGGAUCGUAAAACUCUGUUAUUAGGGAAGAACAUAUGUGUAAGUAACUGUGCACAUCUUGACGGUACCUAAUCAGAAAGCCACGGCUAACUACGUG
RNAcentral lists this ribosomal RNA (497 nucleotides) under uncultured bacterium. RNAcentral describes it as "partial 16S ribosomal RNA". It matches the Rfam family "Bacterial small subunit ribosomal RNA", at positions 28 to 507 of the family's 1533-position model. The record is from RNAcentral.